ACGCUCGACACCUACGGGAGCAGCAGUGGGGAAUAUUGGGCAAUGGGCGCAAGCCUGACCCAGCAAUGCCGCGUGAAGGAAGAAGGCUUUCGGGUUGUAAACUUCUUUUGUCAGGGAAGAGAAGAAGACGGUACCUGACGAAUAAGCCACGGCUAACUACGUGCCAGCAGCCGCGGUAAUCUGAGCGGGCUGGCAAGGC
RNAcentral lists this ribosomal RNA (199 nucleotides) under uncultured bacterium. RNAcentral describes it as "partial 16S ribosomal RNA". It matches the Rfam family "Bacterial small subunit ribosomal RNA", at positions 328 to 539 of the family's 1533-position model. The record is from RNAcentral.